RNAcentral lists this ribosomal RNA (790 nucleotides) under uncultured Staphylococcus sp. RNAcentral's name for it is "bacterial SSU rRNA". It matches the Rfam family "Bacterial small subunit ribosomal RNA", at positions 129 to 905 of the family's 1533-position model. Lineage: Bacteria; Bacillati; Bacillota; Bacilli; Caryophanales; Staphylococcaceae. The record is from RNAcentral.
CCUAUAAGACUGGGAUAACUUCGGGAAACCGGGGCUAAUGCCGGAUAACAUAUAGAACCGCAUGGUUCUAUAGUGAGAGAUGGUUUUGCUAUCACUUAUAGAUGGACCCGCGCCGUAUUAGCUAGUUGGUAAGGUAACGGCUUACCAAGGCGACGAUACGUAGCCGACCUGAGAGGGUGAUCGGCCACACUGGAACUGAGACACGGUCCAGACUCCUACGGGAGGCAGCAGUAGGGAAUCUUCCGCAAUGGGCGAAAGCCUGACGGAGCAAUGCCGCGUGAGUGAUGAAGGGUUUCGGCUCGUAAAACUCUGUUAUUAGGGAAGAACAUAUGUGUAAGUAACUGUGCACAUCUUGACGGUACCUAAUCAGAAAGCCACGGCUAACUACGUGCCAGCAGCCGCGGUAAUACGUAGGUGGCAAGCGUUAUCCGGAAUUAUUGGGCGUAAAGCGCGCGUAGGCGGUUUCUUAAGUCUGAUGUGAAAGCCCACGGCUCAACCGUGGAGGGUCAUUGGAAACUGGGAAACUUGAGUGCAGAAGAGGAAAGUGGAAUUCCAUGUGUAGCGGUGAAAUGCGCAGAGAUAUGGAGGAACACCAGUGGCGAAGGCGACUUUCUGGUCUGUAACUGACGCUGAUGUGCGAAAGCGUGGGGAUCAAACAGGAUUAGAUACCCUGGUAGUCCACGCCGUAAACGAUGAGUGCUAAGUGUUAGGGGGUUUCCGCCCCUUAGUGCUGCAGCUAACGCAUUAAGCACUCCGCCUGGGGAGUACGACCGCAAGGUUGAAACUCAGA